RNAcentral lists this ribosomal RNA (482 nucleotides) under uncultured bacterium. Its description in RNAcentral is "partial 16S ribosomal RNA". It matches the Rfam family "Bacterial small subunit ribosomal RNA", at positions 29 to 507 of the family's 1533-position model. The record is from RNAcentral.
AUUGAACGCUGGCGGCAUGCUUUACACAUGCAAGUCGAACGGUAACGGGCCUUCGUGUGCCGACGCGUGGCGAACGGGCGGGUAAUACACCCGAACGUGCCCGACCGAGGGGGACAAGGAGGGGAUAGCUUAGUUAAUAUCGCACACGAUCUACGGAUGAAAGCGGGGGACCGCAAGGACGUGCUCUGGCGGUGCGGUCGGUGGGGGAUCAGGUAGUUGGUGGGAGAAAAGAUUACCAAGCCGACGAUCUGUAGCUGGCCUGCGCGAGUGAUUAGCCACACUGGGGCGGGGACACGGCCCAGACUCCUACGGGAGGCAGCAGUGGGGAAUUUUAGACAAAGGGCGCAAGCCUGGUCCAGCCAUGCCGCGUGCAGGAUGAAGGCCUUCGGGUUGUAAACUGCUUUUGUGCGGAACGAAAAGCCUUCUUUUAAUACAGGGGGGUCGUGACGGUACCGUAAGAAUAAGCACCGGCUAACUACGUG